This 516-nucleotide ribosomal RNA is filed under the name uncultured bacterium. RNAcentral's name for it is "bacterial SSU rRNA". It matches the Rfam family "Bacterial small subunit ribosomal RNA", at positions 9 to 524 of the family's 1533-position model. The record is from RNAcentral.
GAGUUUGAUCGUGGCUCAGGACGAACGCUGGCGGCGUGCUUAACACAUGCAAGUGGAGCGACGAACCAGGGCUUGCCCUGGGGCAGAGCCGCGAACGGGGUGAGUAACACGUGGGUUACCUGCCUCGAUGACCGGGACAACCCGAGGAAACUCGGGCUAAUACCGGAUGUGCCCGCAAGGGGAAGGAAGCUUCGGCCUCCGCAUCGAGAUGGGCCCGCGGCCCAUUAGCUUGUUGGUGAGGUAACGGCUCACCAAGGCUUCGAUGGGUAGCUGGUCUGAGAGGACGAUCAGCCACACUGGGACUGAGACACGGCCCAGACUCCUACGGGAGGCAGCAGUGGGGAAUCUUGCGCAAUGCGCGAAAGCGUGACGCAGCAACGCCGCGUGGGGGAAGAAGGCUUUCGGGUUGUAAACCCCUUUCAGUUGGACGAAGCUUCUCCGGUGAUAGCCGGAUGGAGUGACGGUACCUUCACAAGAAGCACCGGCUAACUACGUGCCAGCAGCCGCCGCGGUAAU